RNAcentral lists this ribosomal RNA (433 nucleotides) under uncultured bacterium. RNAcentral's name for it is "partial 16S ribosomal RNA". It matches the Rfam family "Bacterial small subunit ribosomal RNA", at positions 29 to 507 of the family's 1533-position model. The record is from RNAcentral.
AACGAACGCUGGCGGCAGGCUUAACACAUGCAAGUCGAGCGCAUCCUUCGGGGUGAGCGGCGGACGGGUGAGUAACGCGUGGGAACGUGCCCUCUUCUACGGAAUAGCCUCGCGAAACUGAGAGUAAUGCCGUAUACGCCCGCAAGGGGAAAGAUUUAUCGGAGGAGGAUCGGCCCGCGUUGGAUUAGGUAGUUGGUGGGGUAACGGCCUACCAAGCCGACGAUCCAUAGCUGGUUUGAGAGGAUGAUCAGCCACACUGGGACUGAGACACGGCCCAGACUCCUACGGGAGGCAGCAGUGGGGAAUCUUGGACAAUGGGGGCAACCCUGAUCCAGCCAUGCCGCGUGAUCGAUGAAGGCCUUAGGGUUGUAAAGAUCUUUCAGCUGGGAAGAUAAUGACGGUACCAGCAGAAGAAGCCCCGGCUAACUCCGUG